Molecule: transfer RNA, 73 nt
Filed under: candidate division Zixibacteria bacterium HGW-Zixibacteria-1
Lineage: Bacteria; Pseudomonadati; Candidatus Zixiibacteriota
Also listed under: 1 other name
Description: tRNA-Ala
Rfam family: tRNA
About the family: Transfer RNA (tRNA) molecules are approximately 80 nucleotides in length. Their secondary structure includes four short double-helical elements and three loops (D, anti-codon, and T loops). Further hydrogen bonds mediate the characteristic L-shaped molecular structure. tRNAs have two regions of fundamental functional importance: the anti-codon, which is responsible for specific mRNA codon recognition, and the 3' end, to which the tRNAs corresponding amino acid is attached (by aminoacyl-tRNA synthetases). tRNAs cope with the degeneracy of the genetic code in two manners: having more than one tRNA (with a specific anti-codon) for a particular amino acid; and 'wobble' base-pairing, i.e. permitting non-standard base-pairing at the 3rd anti-codon position.
Source: RNAcentral
GGGGCCGUAGUUCAGAUGGGAGAACGCUUGACUGGCAGUCAAGAGGUCAGGGGUUCGAUCCCCCUCGGCUCCA